AUUUCACAACCCCAGCCACCUCUGAAACCUUCCACUCUCUCAAGCUCUCUCAAGUCUUCUCAGAACCCUAGCCUCCUCUCACCGCUUCCACCUUGAAAGCCACCAGAAUCCAUGGCUUGCUGGGCUUGGGAAUCUUAUACCUACCUCCUGUUUCCUUUACACACCUGAUCUCUGAAGAUUCAAAGCUUGACCUUCAAGGUUUUGCACCCAGACUUCUGUCACUUCGAGGUUCAACGGUUAUUUCCGGUCUUGCUCCGGCAUACUAUGGUUAUUUGAGCUUGAUUCUGACCUCUCCGACUCAGAUCGAUGACUUUUCAAAACCUUUCUCAUUUUUAGGAUUCUUCUGAAACCCUACCUUCGAGGUUUUCUCCGAUUCCUUUAGAUCUGUUAUGUAUCCAUGCUUUCCUUAAGGUCUUAAAUGUUUUCCUGACUUUUUUUUUUCAAAAACUACUUUCAAAAAAUGUCUUUUCCGAUCUAGGGUUUUCUGAAAGUAUUUAAGUGUUUUCUAACUUUUUUUUCCUUUUUAGGGUAUUUGCUUCUACCGGGUUCUUGUAUUUUCUUUUACCGUGUUCUUACGCGUUUCUUCAGUUGUAGUUUCUUCUAAUGUGUUCUCGUAUGAUUCUCUAAUAUAUGCUUUCUUUAUUGUGUUUUGAUAUGUUUCUCCUACUAUGUUUUCUUACUAAGUUUUUAAGUUUCAUUAUUAAGUUCCUUUUACUGAGCUUUGUUUAAAGUUUCUUCCAAAAUUUCUUAGCAUGCUUCUUCUAUUGUUCUUAUCAGGCUUCUCAAUUAUGUUUCAUAUUAACAUCUUCUACUCAAUUUUUCUUUGAAUUCUGCUACUGUGUUCUGCGUGUUACUUGCUAUCAUUGUUUUCUCAUGAGUUUCUACUGCUGAAAGAAACAUGCAAGAGGUUUCAUAGAACUGAAACCUCUGAGCUUGUUUCGAUUACUUGCCUUCUCAUAUCUUGUCACGAUCCCAAAUCCUAAUAGUGAUGGCGCCCAACAUAAUUGCUAGGCAAGCCCGACCAAUCAAUACUCACAUCCCAAUCACAAAUCCCAUUACUGAGUAACAACAUGAAAUUAGUAGUUGUCAAGUCUAUUAACCAAAUAAAUUAAUUAGAAAUAGUAUGAGACACUUGCAUAACCAACAUCUACCAAAGACCUGGGGUCAUGAGUCUAGAGCCACUAAGAUGACAAAGUAGCAAACUCUCAUGUAAUACAAAGUUCUAGAAUGAGGAAAGAUAAAAGGGAUAAGGGGAGGAGUCGGGUUAUGCGGACGUCAGGCACCUACCUCGACAACUCCUGAAAGCUCUGGAAACAACAAACAGCUCGACUAAGCUCCCAAUGCUCCUGAAUCUGCACACAUGGUGCAGGAAGUAAAGUGAGUACUUCCAACUCAGUGGUAAUAGACAUAUAUAAUGACUGAAAGUAAGAAANNNNNNNNNNNNNNNNNNNNNNNNNNNNNNNNNNNNNNNNNNNNNNNNNNNNNNNNNNNNNNNNNNNNNNNNNNNNNNNNNNNNNNCACAAUGUAAAGCUAAAACUAACAAUUUAGCAUAAUUAACGGUGAAAUGGCAACAAAAUAGAAUCAUAUAAAUUAGAUAACAUCAAAGCAUGAAUGCAAUGCACAUGACCGCUGCGGCGUACAACCCGAUCCAUUUGGGUACCCGCGCUCACUGUGGAGGUUCAGACUCCGAAGGGGCUCCUACAGCCGAAGCGCAAUAUCAAUGUCUUACCGCUGUGGCGUGCAUCUUGAUCGAUGCACAGUCCAGAAGGUUUCAGACUCCGGGGCUCCUACAGCCCAAGCACAAUAUCAUAGUGACAUCGCUGCGGCGUGCAGCCCGAUCCUCACUCAGUCCAGAAUAUGCAUGUGAGUUAUACAACAAAGUCAGAUUUUAGUUCUCAGUUUCAAUUAUUAGAAAAAUUAUCGUCUAAGUCUUUAAAACCUUAGGGGUGUCACUAGGUAUUUCGAAACAGUGUUUAAACUCAGGACUGAACUCAUAUAGCAUGCCGAAUAUCAUGGAAGCAGUGAUAAUAAUCCCCACGGGAUUCAAAUAGUUGGCACACGGCCCAAAUAUAUCAGAACAGUCCAAGUGGGAUGUUUACUAAUCAGUCUAUAGUCCAAAGAACAGCUUGGACACCACUGGGGGCGGACUAAACCAUAAUCCCCAAUCACAAAAGACCCCACACUCGUCAUGGAGUGCGUGUCUCGCCUCAAUAUAGCGUCACAGUGAUAAACUGAGGUUUCAAACCCUCAGAUCAUCAUCUACAUCUAUUAAUCACCUCUACUCGGCCGAAGAUAGCUCGCAAUGCCCUUUCCUCUCAUAUCAACCUCCUCGUACAUCGAAUCUGGACAAAACUAUAAUGAAUACGUUACAAUGUGCCAAAGAAACAUAACCCAAUCGAAAAGACUUGAAAAACCCCAAAAAUCACGAAGUUGGCAAUACCCGAGCCCUAGGCCCGCUUCUCGAAAAUUACAAAACUCACAGUACCGGAUUCUUCAUCUCGCUACGAGUCCAUACACACUAAGAACUCCCAAAUCCGAGCUUAAAUGACCUAUCAAAUCCCAAUUUGAAAUAUCAAAACUCAAGCCCUAGCUUUACCCCCUUUCAGUUAAUUUAAACCAAUUUCCAUGUUAAAUCUAGCAUAAUCUCGUGUUUUUAGGCCAAGGAACUUACCUCAAAUCAUUCUAUUUUGAACCCCUGUUCAAAAUGGCCUCAAAGCUCGCUUAAAAAUGGAGGAAAAUAAUGCCUAGCUCGCGGAAAGAAAUAAAACCUUUAAACCCCUAUGCAAAUAGCCCUUUUCGCUUCUACGGUCCCGCUAUCGCUUAUGCGGGACCGCUUCUGCGGCCAAAAAUCCGCUUAUGCGGUUCUUACUUUAAAACCCAACGUCCACUUUUACGUCUCCACAUCCGCUUCCACGAACUACCCAAGACCGCUUCUGCGGUUCAUAGUCCGCUUCUGCGGACUUGCGUUUGCGAACAAUAUUCCGCUUUUGUGGAACCACUCUACUAAGCCAAGAGCCGCUUAUGAGAAAAAUACCAACUAACAGAAAAGCUGAACUUGCAACACACCUCGCAACUCUCGUUUAACCACCUAAAUCUACCCCGAGGCCCCCGUGACCUCAAACAAAAGCACCAACAUAUCCAAAAACAUCAUACGAACUUGUUUCAAUCAUUUAAACACAUCAAAUAACACUAAAACCACUAAAUCACAUCGGAUUCAAGCCUAAGCUUCUUAAAACUUUCCGAAAUACAUUUUCGAUAAAAAAUCAGACCAAACCACGUCCGAAUGACCUGAGAUUAUGCACACACAUUAUAAAUCACAUAUAGAAGCUACAACCUUCGGAUAAAAAUCUCACCUAUCAACCGGAAUUCGCCAAAAUACUAACUUCGCCAAUUCAAGCCAAAUUCUACAACGGACCUCCAAAUCCAAUUCCGAUUACGCUCCUAAGUCACAUAUUAUUCCCCGAAGCUGACCAAAACACCAGAAAUCAAAUCCGAGCCCUACAACUCAUUAGCCAAUGUCCGGUUGUCAUUUACCACUUAAGCCUUACUUAAUGAGACUAAGAGUCUCAUUUCUUAUCAAAACAAGUCCAAAUCAACUCUAACAUUCCACAUACCGUUAACAACAUAUGAAGAAGCUUAACGUGAGGGAAACAGAGCAGUAACGCAUGAGACGACGGGUCGGGUUGUCACAUCCUCCCCAACUUAAACAAAUGCUCAUCCUCGAGUGUACCAGAGUUGUACAAGAAGCCAGCCAAUAUCUGAAUGACCUUACCAAACAUAUACCCGGGGUGAUCCCACGUCACACUAACUCACAUAGGCUCCGAUAAUACAACACAACUGAAAUUUCAAAGUCCAUCUAGACCAUAAACCGUAGAACCACAUCACACUUCCGAAAUCAUACCCAGAAUAAACCCGAACAAGCUGUGGCAAACCACACCUGUAACCUUAGGUGAAAUCAUACAACAUACCACACAAUCCAACACUCGAGACGAUAGACUCUAUUCACAACAGCUGCCUACAAUAACCAAAUACCGAUAGAAAACCUCUUAUUAGCUAAGGUCUUAUUCCAACACCUUCAUAUACUGCCAACGAUAAAUAAAACACGCGAUAAACCGUAGCCAUUCCUCAGAUCAUCCAUACAUGAAGCCACUUCUCUUUUGAGCAGUACCAUAAUGGAUUUUUGGGCCAAACCUCGAUAUUAUCCUUCUAACAGCUGAAAUCAAAUUUGUUUGUAUUCAUUAAUGACUCCAAUGAUCACCUCGAAUCCAAUACAUCACUCUGGUGAUAUGACACCUCAACACAGGCCUAAGCCACAACUUGCAUCAUACGCGUACCAAUAAGAAACGGUCCGAGCAUACUCUAAUCCUGAAAAUGACUCAAAUGAAAGAGCUGUACCUUAAUCCCAUCAGAACCAUCACAACACAAGGAUGAGAACCCGUCUCACAUAAUAGAAAUAGAACACCUGAAGCUACCCGACAAGUCGUAAUGCCACGUAGCUUCGCUACAAUGCGCGAUCCUAUCCAAGCAUUGUUACACAUGAAGUAACUUGAGUCACCAUGCCCAAAAUAGACAGCCACACACAGAUUGAUGUCUGAAGCCAAGCAAUCCAUCACACCCAUGGUGAAGCAAGUAAUAUACACCAUUCAAUCCUGAAAGGACACAACUGACGCGCUAUUCGCCGAGCAACUCCCAAUAUGGACUUUCAUCAGAAACCAGGAAGCAAGGCAUAUAUAGUAACAUAUAGAAUUAUUCUCCACAUCACAAUUUUGCGGAGUUCAACCCGAUCUAGAUAACAUACAUGUGGUAGCGUGCCACCUGAUCCACAUAAAUGUCUCACGUAAGGAGAUGCACAUCGAGCCAAAUUUGCUCAUUAUAACAAAAUACCGAGUAUCAAUCGUAAGCAUACUGAGUGCGUAAUGAUAUCUACAGCGUUUCAAGCUAUAAAACUCAACUUCCACCAUGAACCUCGACAGCACCGCACUAUACGUUCCCAAAAGUCCGAAAAUUAUAACGCCUCACAUCACAGAUAAACAACUCAUAGAUUUCCCCAGAUCACUAGGAGGUUCAAUAACGAUCGAAUCAACCUAUCCUUCAUCAAUACAAUUCGGGGCCAACCAAGACAACUCAUGCUAAAUACGUAUCCAAUUAGCUUACCAAAAAACUCAUUCACCAAGAAGCCUGAAGCUGCUCCUUCCACUACUAUAACUCAUGCUGGAGCUGUACGAUACGGUUCUUGACACCAAAUUAAUACCGAAAUCCAUAAUCUCACCCGAAGACAUGCCCGAUCACCAGGAACGCAUCCGAAAAGGUCCUUCAAUACCAGAACUGAGUCAAUGGCAGAAGCCUCUAUAUUGAAAUCCGUCACAAAGGCCCAAUUAAGGAAAACAAUCCUUCCCAACCGUCUACUGGUCUUUGGAACUCAACCAUUCUACUAGAACAUAGUCCGAUGCACCUCUCCACGCAACUUGCGGCAUUUUCUAAUAUGACACAUAGCACAACAAUCUAGAAUAAUCUAACACAGAGACACCCAGUCUACACACCAAUAUCGUAUCCAAAGUCUAACAUACCAAACAAAGAAAGAUCCACUCGGGCCUUCAAAUCCCUUUGGCCACUAACGGUACCAAUACACACGGUCUACAACCACUACAUAGCCUGAACAUGAGAAAUCUCGGUCUCUAACUUCUAUAGCACACAAAUCACCAUAAGUGAUCCCAAAUUCUGCCGUAUGAAUAUAUAUAUCACAACUCAGGUACACAAUAAUUCCAUGAAAGAUAUUCUAAAAUUCCCGUGCCAUCAAACGAACUCAUAUAUUAGCAGUCGAUCUAGAAAGAAAGCACCAAAACACCAACAUAGUAUCAUCAAUAUAAUCACCUUUCCCUUUUUCCGAGACAUAAACGUUAAAUCACUAGAAUAGUAAUACCAUUUUCCUUAAUCAUCUGAAGGUCGAUUCUUAAAUCACCUGCAGCUGCCCCUGAUGCUUAAGAAUUUGAUAACUAUUUAUUUUGAACUGAACUGAAACCUUACACACGCAAAUUCCAAUCCUCCACAAGGGAGAAUUGUGGUAUUUUCAUUGGAAAAUGACAUAAGAACUCCAUCUAGAAGAAAAUCACUACACAUCCCAUGCUUCGCAUGCCCAUAGACAAUAUAUACGUCUCCAAACCACGAUAAAACUCAUCAAAAACUCUCUCCUCAAUUCCAUUGCACAAGCUAAACUGUUAGGACUACAUCCCUUUUGCAUGAGCCAAGCUAAGCAAACUAUCAGUACUCAAGAGCUUUGCUGCACAACACUUGUAGAAACAUAUUACCUUGAACACAUAUGAAGAUUAAUCAUAUCUUUACCAUACCGAUUCGGUCUACUAUCAAACUAUUUCAUCUAUCUAAUUUCCCCCUUUUGUUCAUCAUCAACUUGAUAUUUCUCCCUCGUCGUAGCAUCACAAUGCCUCCAUCCAGGCUUACCACACGAGACCCAAGCACAAGACCACAUUGCCUAAGACCUACAAGCCACUAAAUACUCUCAAAUGUUCCCAGGAACACCACAUUCCCAAAAUAAUCAGCUAGAAAGAACUUCCUAUGAAUCCAUCUUCGUUACCUUUAUUUUCCCGAUACUGAUGCAUAGAAUCCCAUAGUUAACAUGAAAAUACCACAAGUAUUGAUAUUUUCCAAUGAAAACACAGCCUCUAACCACAUACACGACCUUAAGUCACCUGAUGGUCACAUGUAGAAUCUUGAAUACAUUAGAAUCAUUCCCGAAAGUCAUUCACUCUUAUUCAACUGCAAUUUACCUGCCUCAAUGAACAUAACCACUCAUGCCUUAUUAGCACUCUGACACCGUAGGAUCUGAUCUCACUUCAAUGCAAACAAAUAUCUUCCUUCUCUAUGCACUGAGCAUUAUUUAUCUUCAAUAGCUCAGUACGUCAUAUUAUUUUCACAUCUCUAUGAAGCACUAUAUAACCUUUGUCCAAAUUGUGCCAACCUCGGCUCAUUUCCGCGACCAGAACUGAUCCGCCAGCAUACCUCGAACGGAAUCACAUAUCACAUAUCCGUGCAAUUAGCUAUUCAACAACAACCUCCCUAACUUGGCUCGAAGCCAUAUAUUAGGACACACUCAACAACUCAUAAUACCUUUAAUGAUACCACCACGCCCUAGUAUGAUUAAAGUUAAAUAAUUUACUAGUUUUUUUGAAAACACAGAUCAUCUAGUACGGAAAUUGUCAACAAACCUCGUAUUCAUCCCCACAUUAGUUACGUCCACUCUCUAGAGCAACCCAAAUUCAUCAAAUUUAAACAUGUACUCUUCAAUUACACAUAUGAUCUUCUAUCAAUGUACAUAAGAAUCAUACCACAUUCGAACAACCCACAGGGGAUAACCCACCCGCUUUGCCUCAAUUUAGUACUUCGGCAUACUUUCCACCAUCAUAUACGCUGCAAAGUCAAUUUAGUCUCCCCGAGUUGGGGCUCAUACCGCAAUAUGCUAUUUACUUCACUCCCAACUAGGAGAUCUGAAAAGAUUCUUCACGCACCCAUAACUUGGGGCGACACAUCCAAUCACAAUGGAAAUCAACACUUAAUGAUUCAUCUACACCUAGCAGACCUUCUUCGACACUUCCAAGACAUAUAGACACACCACACAACACCAACGUACUCAUCACGUAGCUAUCCAGCCACCAUUCUCACAAUUAAAUGAAAUAAUGAAUAUUCAGGUUCAUAACACCAGAUCGCAAAAUUAGCACCUCGGUGCUCAAGCCAUAGGCGAAGAUUCAGCCUCAAUCCAGACCGACCCAACAUCAGCUCAUAGAAAUCACAUCUCUCCCCUCCAUCGGGGAAUCACAAGACAUCAAGGCACAUAUAUUUUGAGCGCUCAUGCGCACAUACAGACGCGAGGAAGUAAUUUCAAGAGUUAUAUUCCAAGCUGAAUCAAGUAUGCACGAUAAGAACUCCAAGAAAGUGAAGUUGUUCCUUAAGGUUCUACAACCUCUCGAGGAUGAAUACAGACGUCUCCGUACCGACCUGCGAGACUCUAUUCACCGGCUCAUGACUCAUGAGGCCUAGUAACAUAUGCUCUGCUACCAACUUGUCACGACCCCAAAUCCCGAUCGUGAUGGAGCCCAACACAAUUGCUAGGAAAGCCCGACCAAUCAAUACUCACAUCCCAAUCACAAACCCCAUUACUGAGUAACAACAUGAAAUUAGUAGUUGUCAAGUCUAUUAACCAAAUAAAUUAAUUAGAAAUAGUAUGAGACACUGACAUAACCAACAUUUCCCAAAUACUUGGGGUCAUGAGUCUAGAGCCUGUAAGAUGACAAAGUAGCAAAAUCUCAUGUAAUACAGAGUUCUAGCAUGCAAAAAGAUUAAAGGGAUAAGGGGAGGAGUCGGGUUCUGCGGACGUCAGGCAGCUACCUCGACAACUCCUGAAAGCUCUGGAAACAGCAAACAACUCGACUAAGCUCCCGAUGCUCCCGAAUCUGCACACAUGGUAUAGGGAAUAAAGUGAGUACUUCCAACUCAGUGGUAAUAGACAUAUAUAAUGACUGAAAGUAAGAAAUCCCGAAAAUACCAUAAUGUAAAGCUAGAACUAACAAUUCAGCAUAAUUAACACUGAAAUGGAAAUAAAACAGAAACAGGUAGAUCAGAUAAACAUCAAAGCAUGAAUGCAAUACAAUGCACAUGAUCGCGGCAGCGUACAACCCGAUCCAUUUGGGCACCCACGCUCACUGUGGGGGUUCAGACUCCGGAGGAGCUCCUACAACCCAAGUGCAAUAUCAUAGUGACAUCGCUGCAGCGAGCAGCCCGAUCCACACUCAGUCCAGAAUAUGCAUGUGAGUUAUACAGCAAACAAACAGCUCGUCUAAGCUCUCGAUGCUAUCGCUUAUGCGGGACCGCUUCUACGGCCAAAAGUCCACUUAUGCGGUUCUUACUUAAACAUCCAACAUUCGCUUUUGCGUCUCCACAUCCACUUCCGCGAACCACCCAAGACUGCGACUGCGGUUCAUAGUCUGCUUUUGCGGACUCGCAUUUGCGAACAAUAUUCCUCUUUUGUGGAACCACUCCACUAGGCCAAGAGCCGAUUAUACAUUCCUCCACUCGCUCCUGCGGAUGGACCGCAGAAGCGGAAAUACCAGCUGAUAGAAAAGCUGAACCUGCAACACACCUCGAAACUCUCGUUUAACCACACGAAUUCACCCCGAGGCCCCCGGUACCUUAACCAAAGAAACCAACAUAUCCAAAAACAUCAUACGAACUUUUUAUGAUCAUUAAAACAUAUCAAAUAACACAAAAACCAUUAAAUCCCAUCGGAUUCAAGCCUAAGUUUCUUAAAAACUUCCGAAAUACAUUUUCAAUAAAAAAUCCAACCAAACCACGUCCGAAUGACAUGAGAUUUCUCACACACAUCAAAAAUCACAUAUAGAAGCUACAGAUACUCUCGGAAUACCGACUCUCGGAUCAAAAUCUCACCUAUCAACCAAAAUUUGCCAAAAUACUAACUUCGCCAAUUCAAGCCAAAUUCUACAAUGGACCUCAAAAUCCAAUUCCGAUCACACUCCUAAGUCACAAAUCAUUCACCGAAGCUGACCAAUACACCAAAAAUUACAUCCAAGCCCUAUUACUCAUUAGUCAACAUUCGGCUGACUUUUUCCACUUAAGCCUUCCUUAAAGAGACUAAGUGUAUCAUUUCUUAUCAAAACCAGUACAAAUAAACUCUAACACACCACAUACCUAUAACAACAUAUGAAGAAGCUUAACAUGAGGGAAAUUGAGUAGUAAUGCAUGAGACGAUGGGUCGGGUCGUCACAUCUCUGUACUUGAUUCAAGUCGGAAAUCCUAGAAUUCGGGGUUCUGCCAAGUUUGAUUGUGUGAUUUAAUUGAACUAGGGUUUUAUUUUAGAACCCCUAACUCUUUUAGAACAACUUUGAGUCUCUGAAUCGAGUUUGGACAUCCAUGUUUACAUAUGAUUCAGAUCAUUGGCUAAACUCUUCUAGAACUCUUUCUUCACUGGAUUUUUCUAUUGAUUUUUGCAAUGGCACAACAUUUUCUUUCAACUCAACAUGUUUGUCUGCUCUUUAUAUGUGAUGAAUCUUCCUCUAAAAAGGUUUUCAGCUCAUGAAUGAUUCAAAUUCGUUCUAAAUAGGCUUGAUUGAUUUCUUUCCAUUGUUUGCCGAUUUUCUCUGUGACUCGGCCUAAGUUAAAACCCUUCUUCAUAUUUCUGACUCGGUUCAUUCAUGCAAAAUCUCAAACCCUUUUGAUUUACUGCUUGUUAAUUGAUUUGCUUACCUUAUUUUCACAAACUGUGUAUUUCAAAACCUUGUCCUUAAAUAACUUUUUAUGUACUUGACCCUAAUUGCAUGCUUUGCACAAAGUGUUUAUUCAAUUUCUUUCCUUAUAUAGUUUUUAUCGAUUUUGAAUCUGAAUCCCUUAACUAUUGAUUGACAAUCAGUUCCUCAACUAUUUUCUUACCUUGUUUCUGCCCGAUUUUACACUAUAAAAGGCACGACCUCUUUACAAACAAGACACUUUCACAAUCCUUCUGAACUCUUACUUACACAUAAUAGUUUUCUCUCUUCUUGUCUGCACUGUGGCUUUUACAAUACUACUGCAUUUUCUCUAUUUGUUUUUUUGAAACUGGUAUGUCCUAAUUUAAGUUUCAAAAUCAUCACAAUGUGUUCAUUUACAACUUUUAUAUCCAUGUCUACUUUACUAUUUCUGCUGUGAAUCAUUGCUCCCUAUCCCUAUUAUCCCUAUGUAUUUGAGAGUUGUGACUUAAAACAUAGCAAUGCGAGUUGUUUACCAUGAAUUAUGUUUGAACCAAUGAGGUCUUAACCUAUAAGCAAACAGGCUGGAGGUUGUGCCAGCAUCUCCCAUUCCUGGGUGUGCCCAUCAGUCUGCUUUUCUUUUGCUCUUGCAAAUUCCCUUAUUCCCCUACUACCUUAUGUGUACUGAUUUUAAGUUAUUUCCCUUUUCCCUUUCCCCUUUCAGAAUGCUACUUUCACACUUGCACUCCCUCUUCGUUCCUAAGUUCUCACCCCCUUCUUGUGAGCCUUGCCUUGGGACCUUGAGUUCCCUUUGAACUUUGACACCUGAGGGCUGGCCCUUCCACACUGCACUAUGGCUUAAUCUG
Molecule: long non-coding RNA, 11113 nt
Filed under: Nicotiana benthamiana
Lineage: Eukaryota; Viridiplantae; Streptophyta; Magnoliopsida; Solanales; Solanaceae
Description: long non-coding RNA (NBEN_LNC005069)
Source: RNAcentral